RNAcentral lists this ribosomal RNA (440 nucleotides) under uncultured bacterium. RNAcentral's name for it is "partial 16S ribosomal RNA". It matches the Rfam family "Bacterial small subunit ribosomal RNA", at positions 338 to 795 of the family's 1533-position model. The record is from RNAcentral.
CCUACGAGAGGCCGCAGUGGGGAAUCUUGCACAAUGGGGGAAACCCUGAUGCAGCAACGCCGCGUGAGUGAAGAAGUCUCUCGGUAUGUAAAGCUCUAUCAGCCGGGAAGAAAAUGACGGUACCUGACUAAGAAGCCCCGGCUAACUACGUGCCAGCAGCCGCGGUACUACGUCGGGGGCAAGCGGUAUCCGGAUUUACUGGUUGUAAAGUGAGCGUAGACGGUGUGGCAAGUCUGAAGUGAAAGCCCGGGGCUCAACCCCGGGACUGCUUUGGAAACUGUCAUGAUGGAGUGCUGGAGAGGUAAGCGGAAUUCCUAGUGUAUCGGUGAAAUGCGUAGAUAUUAGGAGGAACACCAGUGGCGAAGGCGGCUUACUGGACAGUAACUGACGUUGAGGCUCGAAAGCGUGGGGAGCAAACAGGAUUAGAUACCCGAGUAGUC